Papilio polytes (common Mormon) is the source of this 353-nucleotide long non-coding RNA. RefSeq lists it as uncharacterized. The transcript is spliced from 3 exons. The record is from RefSeq and is a predicted model, not a curated record. NCBI's taxonomy places the organism in Eukaryota, Metazoa, Arthropoda, Insecta, Lepidoptera, Papilionidae.
AAAAAUGUUGACAUUAAUAACAAUAUAAUAACCUCAAAGCAAGUUUGUUUUGCAAAAGAAAUCAAUCAACAUAAAUACGUUUAGACAUUAUUUUGCUUGGAUACGUGUUAAUUAUUUUGUACGUUGUACGGUUAUUGCCGUUGCCAUGUGGUUUAGAAAAUACAUGUAUAGUAUUAUCUGGAGAAUUUGGAGAAUGUCUCACUCCCCAAAAAAACUCCAAAGGACUUCAACUCCCCCAAAGGUAAUAAAAACCUAAUAAGGGAAACUCUGGCUCGGAUUCAUCGAACUGAAUUGAAUACCCAACAUGACCAGGCAUUAUUUGAAUUGAGAAUGGAGAGAGAAAAAGUUUUAGU